Long non-coding RNA from Onychostoma macrolepis, 1478 nucleotides. RefSeq lists it as uncharacterized. The transcript is spliced from 6 exons. NCBI's taxonomy places the organism in Eukaryota, Metazoa, Chordata, Actinopteri, Cypriniformes, Cyprinidae. The record is from RefSeq and is a predicted model, not a curated record.
ACUCAUCCCUCCAAACAGAUGCAUAAAAUUAUCUUUGACAUAAGCGGCAAACAGCUUGAGCGUGUAGCUAUAUAUGCACUGAUCAGUUUUGUCCCGUCUGCACAGCGCCGCAUUUCAGUCGCGCGCCUCUCGCGAGAGUGAUCACUGAAAGCGCGCGAGCGCCGCUGUUUAAACUUCAACGGUUCACGGUGCGCUGACUGCGCUCAGCGUCGGGAGAAAGACGAUUACAUUGAAGCUAAAAGAAGAAAGGUGAUUUAUCGCAUGGUCCAGGCCUGCGCAAUUUUCUGCCGGGAGAGUGUAUCGGACCUAUAAGUAUAGGAAAAGAUGAAACAAAGUUUCGGUCAAAUCUCCGUCAGACUGCCGUUAUAAACAUGAAUUCAAACCAAGAAGAACGAAGAGAGAAGCUGAUGGAGAUGUUUCCAUUUUUUCUGUGGAUAACUAUGUUCAUCUAUCCCAGAGAGCACUGUUAAAGUUUUAGCUCCACCUUAUCAGAUAGCUGAAAAGUGGAAGUCAGAGGAAACAUGAACAACCUGCUGCAAAACAAUAACACAAAAGGUCUGGACUCUGGCGUGCAGCAUUACUUGUUUGGUCAUCUACAUUCAGAUGAAAACACCACACUUCUCUCUAAUUCAAGAUGUCAAGCCUACUCAUCGCAAAGAGAGUUAGCAUCAAAAUGGAUGUGUCACUGACCAAUAACACAGAGAUGCCAGAAGUAUCUGUUUGCAGUCUACUUUUUGUUCAGUAUGGAGCAUCCAAAAGCCAUCACUCAGUUGAUUUCAAUCAGCACUAUUUAGCCCUUCCCAGUGCUGAAAUUGUUAUGGGUCCUUUGUUUUUAUUCUUUAAAUGCUUAUCUGAAUGUAAAAUUAAUAUUUAAUGCUUAUAAAUUAAAAAACAAACAACAACAACAACAACAAAAACCAAUAGUUCCCUUUUCAGAAACAUGUGGUUCACCAUCUUUCAUGGGUUACAGAACUGGGGAAAGUUGCAGCAUACAAAAAAAAAAAAAAGUCAGACUACAUGGUUUAGGGGAAUGUGGAGUAAAUACUUGACAUUUAUUUAAGGUAAAGUUUAAUGACCUGGUGGUGAGAUGCAAAAUAAGAAUGUCAUUAAUAUACUAUUUGAUGACAAAAUUUUCACAUUCUAAUUUUACUUAUGUAUAUCAUUUUUUUUAAUUAUUUUUGCAAGUUAACAUUCAAUUGUUGUUGUUUUUUUUUUUUUUUUUGUGGUUUCUAGCAAUCAACAUAUAUUUGUGACUGACAUGUUGGAUGGGUGAGUAAGGUGGAGGGAGUUGAAAAAACAAUAUUUCUAAAAUGGAGAGUGCUAUUUUAGACAGGUAAAAAUAAUAAAAAAGUACAAAUAAAUAAAGAAACAUGGAUUUAUGUUAAUCCCUGUAACUGUUGCACUAUGAAUUGCUGUGUUAUAUAUUGCUCGUCAUUGUAAAUGCUAAUAAAAGCAUCUUAAAUGAUCACACAACUCCU